UUAUUUCCGGCACUGCCCUUCACUUGGAUCAGGUGUGAAACCCUCAGAUCUCAGAACAAGUUUUUUGAAUAAAGUUGUUGUCAGCCUGUGGAAAGCGGAAGGAAGUAAUCAAUGAUUCUAAAUCAGCGCAACUCGCCCAGACCCAUACCUUAUGGUGAAAAUGAUAUCGAUGUAUUGGACAGAACCUGUCUCACAUCAAGCGUCGAUUGCCUAUUUAAAUAUUGCAACGUACUGAAACAAUUCUUUUUUAAGAACAAUUUAACAAAUACCUUCCGGGACAGCAGUUUAAACGGCUGGAAAAUCAUUCCAAGUCGAAGCUCGCUAAACAGAUAUGAAACUUGGAAACAUUUUGAAGUGAGAGAUAGCUGACCAGGAGACUGGCCUGACCAGGGGACUGGCCUGCUCUUACUGUUGCCAUUGGAUGUAUUGGAAGGAUUUUGACGCUGACAAUCGAUCUGUUUGGCCAUAUCACAAAAGCACCUUCCACAGCUUGGGACUCAAACCCAAAGCUUCUGGCCCAGACAUAGAGAUACUACCUACUGAGCCACAAGACCCUGCUCCAUGAAGUAUUCAUAUAAAACUCAGCCAAAAUUUUAUGGGCAAAAAUACA
Molecule: long non-coding RNA, 610 nt
Organism: Hemiscyllium ocellatum (epaulette shark)
Lineage: Eukaryota; Metazoa; Chordata; Chondrichthyes; Orectolobiformes; Hemiscylliidae
Exons: 3
Source: RefSeq, a predicted model, not a curated record